GACGAACCGUCCAAACGUUAUUCGGAAUCACUGGGCUUAAAGGGUGCGUAGGCGGCGCGGCAAGUUGGGUGUGAAAUCCCUCGGCUUAACCGAGGAACGGCGCCCAAAACUGCCGUGCUCGAGGGAGAUAGAGGUGAGCGGAACUUAGGGUGGAGCGGUGAAAUGCGUUGAUAUCCUAAGGAACACCGGUGGCGAAAGCGGCUCACUGGAUCUCUUCUGACGCUGAUGCACGAAAGCUAGGGUAGCAAACGGG
Molecule: ribosomal RNA, 253 nt
Filed under: uncultured bacterium
Lineage: Bacteria
Description: partial 16S ribosomal RNA
Rfam family: Bacterial small subunit ribosomal RNA
Source: RNAcentral